GACGAACGCUGGCGGCGUGCUUAACACAUGCCAGUCGAACGGAAAGGCCCUGCUUUUGUGGGGUGCUCGAGUGGCGAACGGGUGAGUAACACGUGAGUAACCUGCCCUUGACUUUGGGAUAACUUCAGGAAACUGGGGCUAAUACCGGAUAGGAGCUCCUGCUGCAUGGUGGGGGUUGGAAAGUUUCGGCGGUUGGGGAUGGACUCGCGGCUUAUCAGCUUGUUGGUGGGGUAGUGGCUUACCAAGGCUUUGACGGGUAGCCGGCCUGAGAGGGUGACCGGCCACAUUGGGACUGAGAUACGGCCCAGACUGCUACGGGAGGCAGCAGUGGGGAAUAUUGAACAAUGGGCGGAAGCCUGAUGCAGCAACGCCGCGUGCGGGAUGACGGCCUUCGGGAUGUAAACCGCUUUCGCCUGUGACGAAGCGUGAGUGACGGUAAUGGGUAAAGAAGCACCGGCUAACUACGUG
Molecule: ribosomal RNA, 468 nt
Filed under: uncultured bacterium
Lineage: Bacteria
Description: partial 16S ribosomal RNA
Rfam family: Bacterial small subunit ribosomal RNA
Source: RNAcentral